GUCCAGACUCCACGGGAGGCAGCAGUGGGGAAUAUUGCACAAUGGGGGAAACCCUGAUGCAGCGACGCCGCGUGAGUGAAGAAGUAUUUCGGUAUGUAAAGCUCUAUCAGCAGGAACGAGACAAGACGGUACCUGACUAAGAAGCCCCGGCUAACUACGUGCCAGCAGCCGCGGUAAUACGUAGGGGGCAAGCGUUAUCCGGAAUCACUGGGUGUAAAGGGAGCGUAGACGGCUGUGCAAGCCUGAAGUGAAAGGCAGGGGCCCAACCCCUGGACUGCUUUGGGAACUGUACGGCUGGAGUGCAGGAGAGGUAAGUGGAAUUCCUAGUGUAGCGGUGAAAUGCGUAGAUAUUAGGAGGAACACCGGUGGCGAAGGCGGCCUGCUGGACUGUGACUGACGUUGAGGCCCGAAGGCGUGGGGAGCAAACAGGAUUAGAUACCCCUGUAU
Molecule: ribosomal RNA, 447 nt
Filed under: uncultured bacterium
Lineage: Bacteria
Description: bacterial SSU rRNA
Rfam family: Bacterial small subunit ribosomal RNA
Source: RNAcentral